GACGAACGCUGGCGGCGUGCUUAACACAUGCAAGUCGAACGGUAAGGCCCUUCGGGGUACACGAGUGGCGAACGGGUGAGUAACACGUGGGUGAUCUGCCCUGCACUUCGGGAUAAGCCUGGGAAACUGGGUCUAAUACCGGAUAGGACCACUGCCUGCAUGGGUGGUGGUGGAAAGCUUUUGCGGUGUGGGAUGGGCCCGCGGCCUAUCAGCUUGUUGGUGGGUGAUGGCCUGGCAAGGCGACGACGGGUAGCCGGCCUGAGAGGGUGACCGGCCAAACUGGGACUGAGAUACGGCCCAGACUCCUACGGGAGGCAGCAGUGGGGAAUAUUGCACAAUGGGCGCAAGCCUGAUGCAGCGACGCCGCGUGAGGGAUGACGGCCUUCGGGUUGUAAACCUCUUUCAGCACCGACGAAGCGCAAGUGACGGUAGGUGCAGAAGAAGGACCGGCCAACUACGUGCCAGCAGCCGCCGUAA
RNAcentral lists this ribosomal RNA (477 nucleotides) under uncultured bacterium. Its description in RNAcentral is "partial 16S ribosomal RNA". It matches the Rfam family "Bacterial small subunit ribosomal RNA", at positions 28 to 523 of the family's 1533-position model. The record is from RNAcentral.